CCCUUAGAUGUUCUGGGCGGCCCGCGCACUACAUUGGCACUAGCAAAGAGAUCCUAGAUUGAAUUCUUUGGGGUAUUCUUCUAAAUGGUGUCGUGACUGGGAUAAAUCCUUGUAAUUAUUGGUUUUGAACGAGGAAUUCCUUGUAAUCGCGGUUUAUCAGCUCGCGUUGAAUGCGUCCCUGCCCUUUGUACACACCGCCCGUCGCUCCUACCGAUGGAUCGUCCGGUGAAGCGCACGGAGUGACUGUUCACGCAACGGUUUACGAAGUGAAAUGGACCUCACGAUUUAGAGGAAGGAGAAGUCGUAACA
RNAcentral lists this ribosomal RNA (309 nucleotides) under uncultured eukaryote. RNAcentral's name for it is "partial 18S ribosomal RNA". It matches the Rfam family "Eukaryotic small subunit ribosomal RNA", at positions 1470 to 1796 of the family's 1831-position model. The record is from RNAcentral.